This 106-nucleotide small nuclear RNA is filed under the name Mus spicilegus (steppe mouse). Lineage: Eukaryota; Metazoa; Chordata; Mammalia; Rodentia; Muridae. The record is from RNAcentral.
GUUACCACUUCAGGAACACAUAACACUAAAAUCGGAACAGCACAGACAGUUAGCAUGGCUCCCAUGCAAGGGUGAUAUGAAAAUUAAUUACACGCUCCAUAGUUUC